This 432-nucleotide long non-coding RNA is filed under the name Homo sapiens (human). Its description in RNAcentral is "long non-coding RNA NONHSAT168875.1". Lineage: Eukaryota; Metazoa; Chordata; Mammalia; Primates; Hominidae. The record is from RNAcentral.
UGUUCCUGCUCCGGCUCCUGCGGGGAUGGAUGCUUCACGCAGUAAGCGAGUAAGCGAGCCCUGGAGACCGGGGCCCUGGGUGUGCGGUCGGCUCAGUGCCACGCGGCUAAGUCGCGGAAGCGUAGACACCCGGCUUUUCCCGCGUGCUCUAUCGGGCUCCCCUGGACACGGAGGGUGGAGCAGAAAGAGCAGAGGGGCCGGUGGGAGCCAUGGGGAGUCCGCCUAGCUCCAGAGGACACCUUACCUGGAUCCGCCUUUGUAGCCUCCUCCUGGCUCUGGGGGCUGUCCUGUGGGAGGGGCUGUCCGAAAUAGAGACUGCUCCUUCAGCCUGGACCCAACUGCGAAGAAGCCACAUGGAACAGAGCUGCAGCUAACCUGAAGUCUGUGUGAACUGAGUGCAAGAGACAAAUGUUUGCCACUGGAAAUCACGGA